This 1235-nucleotide long non-coding RNA is filed under the name Anser brachyrhynchus (Pink-footed goose). RNAcentral's name for it is "lncRNA (ENSABRG00000008138.1)". Lineage: Eukaryota; Metazoa; Chordata; Aves; Anseriformes; Anatidae. The record is from RNAcentral.
GGAAACCGCCCCGAGGGCGCCGCCACGGCCAAUGGGCGUGGCGAGGGGCGUGCCCGCGGGCCGUCCCGAAGGUGGGCCGGCCGGCGCGUGGAGGCGAGCGGCCGCGGGGCAGGACGUGGAGCUACAUAUUCAGGAUAACACUCAAAAGGAUCAGUUUUUUUGCGGAGCAAUGGAAAUGACAAGACAGAGGCAUUCUCUCUUUGACAUUAUGUUGGACAUCCUGGAAUGCUUUCUUAUGCAGGCUCAGCUCUUGCCACUAUACGUACAACCUACAUGUCUUCUUCAGCCCCAGCCUGGGCAUAGCGAUGGGUCAUUGCGGGCAGAAAGAGAACAUUGCAGCUGAUAGCUCUGCUGGUUGGCUUUGGACGUGAUACGGCACAACUGCUCCACAGCUGCAGAGGAGAAUGAUUGGAGCCUGGUUUAGGUAAUGUCUGGUGUGAACAGGGGAAUAAGAUCUGUGAUACAGAGAUUCUUUAAACAAAUUUUUCAGAGGCAUAGCAGGUAGCAACAUUUGAACUAUUUUUUGUACUGACAGGAAAGAGGACAUCCCUGCUUCGUCUACCAAAUCUGACUUCAGCGAUGUUUGAACUCUUCAAAGGUAGGAUGGAAAAACAUCAUAUGUUGGUUUGUUUUUGUAAAUAAUUUAUGAACAUUUUUUCCUAUUCCGAUUUUCAAGGAUAGAUGUUUCACAAGAAUUCCUUUCCCUUUACGUAAACGAAAAAUCACAACAUGAGGCAUGCACCCAUCUUCAAAUUUUGUCUGAAGUGAUUGAAGCUCAGGUAGUUAACGAGUAAUUGACAUCAAGGUCUUCAAAUGGACAACAUCAGAUAAUCCCAGAAGCAGUGCUACAACUUUGGCAAAACCUUUCUAUAUGCAUUGAUAGACUUUAUUCUUUGAUGUAACUUGUGAAGCUUUGUCAAUUUCCCUAUGUUUAGUUGCUAGUUGGUUAAGUUUGUGCAAGGAAAGAAAAGGCAGGUUGUAUACGUUAUAACAGAAAUUGUCUGAAGGAUUUGGAGGAGUUGUAAACAUCAAUUCAUUUUCAAGUCUAAUGAUACUUAAUAGUAAUGGCUCUUCUUUAAAAUAGGUGGUAAUUCCAUUUAAUGAGAACGGUUACCAGUGACUGUCUUUUUCACUGAACUCUUUUUAACUCCUGAGAUCAGUGCUUGUAUUAUGUCUUUGGCUGUGUCACAUGCAUAGAAACCUAACUGUAGUUGUUGCGACCUUUCAGGCUAUGU